UUUUUUGAGGGCUUAGAGUAAGUUUUUUGUUGAUAUAAUUCAGGUUUCACCACUCCAACUAUAUCGAAAGAGUUAUGCCUUUUGGAGUAUGACAUGACCAAUUUUUACCAAUACACGUGAAUUGUAAUAAUAUUUUAGCUAUUUAUGUGCGUAUUUGACUUAGUUUUUGACUCCAAAUCUCAAAUCACCAUUUUGGGUGUCA
This 202-nucleotide unclassified non-coding RNA is filed under the name Hevea brasiliensis (rubber tree). The record is from RNAcentral. Lineage: Eukaryota; Viridiplantae; Streptophyta; Magnoliopsida; Malpighiales; Euphorbiaceae.